Molecule: ribosomal RNA, 479 nt
Filed under: uncultured bacterium
Lineage: Bacteria
Description: partial 16S ribosomal RNA
Rfam family: Bacterial small subunit ribosomal RNA
Source: RNAcentral
GACGAACGCUGGCGGCGUGCUUAACACAUGCAAGUCGAGCGAUGAAGCACCUUCGGGUGUGAAUUAGCGGCGAACGGGUGAGGAACACGUGAGAAAUCUGCCUUCAACUCUGGGAUAACUCCGUGAAAACGGGGCUAAUACCGGAUAUGAAACCUGCGGGCAUCCGCGGGUUUGGAAAGUUUUUCGGUUGAAGAUGAUCUCGCGGCCUAUCAGCUUGUUGGUGAGGUAAUGGCUCACCAAGGCGACGACGGGUAGCCGGCCUGAGAGGGCGACCGACCACACGGGGACUGUGACACGGCCCAGACUCCUACGGGAGGCAGCAGUGGGGAAUAUUGGGCAAUGGAGGAAACUCUGACCCAGCGACGCCGCGUGCGGGAUGAAGGCCUUCGGGUUGUAAACCUCUUUCGGCACCGACGAAGCGCAAGUGACGGUAGGUGCAGAAGAAGGACCGGCCAACUACGUGCCAGCAGCCGCCGUAA